This 409-nucleotide ribosomal RNA is filed under the name uncultured bacterium. RNAcentral describes it as "bacterial SSU rRNA". It matches the Rfam family "Bacterial small subunit ribosomal RNA", at positions 505 to 916 of the family's 1533-position model. The record is from RNAcentral.
GUGUCAGCAGCCGCGGUAAUACGGAGGGUGCGAGCGUUAUCCGGAUUUACUGGGUUUAAAGGGUGUGUAGGCGGGCUAUUAAGUCAGCGGUGAAAUACCAGGGCUCAACCCUGGAACUGCCAUUGAUACUAUUAGUCUUGAAUACUGUGGAGGUGAGCGGAAUGUGUCAUGUAGCGGUGAAAUGCAUAGAGAUGACACAGAACACCGAUUGCGAAGGCAGCUCACUACAGAGUCAUUGACGCUGAGGCACGAAAGCGUGGGGAUCAAACAGGAUUAGAUACCCUGGUAGUCCACGCCCUAAACGAUGAUUACUCGACAUUUGCGAUAUACAGUGAGUGUCUGAGCGAAAGCAUUAAGUAAUCCACCUGGGAAGUACGUCCGCAAGGAUGAAACUCAAAUAAAUUGGCGG